UUGAGAGUCCUGAAGACAAGUACUAUCUCUUUCUCCACAGAAUAGCCAUAGGCAGAACAGCUAUAGGCAGUAUAGGCUUCCCCACAUCGUCGUGCCCACACUCUUCAACUUUGUCAUUAAGAACACUUCUAGACGUGAGAGAAUAGUUCAGUCUCCAUGCACUUCAGUCCUUGGGCUCU
Molecule: small RNA, 179 nt
Filed under: Gopherus agassizii (Agassiz's desert tortoise)
Lineage: Eukaryota; Metazoa; Chordata; Testudines; Testudinidae
Description: TUC338 (ENSGAGG00000018029.1)
Source: RNAcentral